CUACGGGCGGCAGCAGUGAGGAAUAUUGCACAAUGGAGGAAACUCUGAUGCAGCAACGCCGCGUGGAGGAUGACGCAUUUCGGUGUGUAAACUCCUUUUAUGAGUCAAGAAAAUGACGGUAGCUCAUGAAUAAGCACCGGCUAACUCCGUGCCAGCAGCCGCGGUAAUAGGGAGGGUGCAAGCGUUACUCGGAAUCACUGGGCGUAAAGGACGCGUAGGCGGGAUAUCAAGUCAGGUGUGAAAUCCUACAGCUUAACUGUAGAACUGCACUUGAAACUGGUAACCUAGAGUAUGGGAGGGGGAGAUGGAAUUAGUGGUGUAGGGGUAAAAUCCGUAGAUAUCACUAGGAAUACCUAAGGCGAAGGCGAUCUCCUGGAACAUAACUGACGCUAAGGCGUGAAAGCGUGGGGAGCAAACAGGAUUAGAUACCCGCGUAGUC
This 439-nucleotide ribosomal RNA is filed under the name uncultured bacterium. RNAcentral's name for it is "partial 16S ribosomal RNA". It matches the Rfam family "Bacterial small subunit ribosomal RNA", at positions 339 to 795 of the family's 1533-position model. The record is from RNAcentral.